ACAACCUCAAGCACUGCUUGAUGUUGGGUGUUUGUCCGCGUUGAUGGCGCGGACUCACCCUAAAACCAUUGGCAGCAGCCAGCCAGCCUCUCGCGCAGCACUUUGCGCUCUCCGAGGCUUUGGCAGGCUUGACUUCCACGAAGAUCUUCGCUA
RNAcentral lists this unclassified non-coding RNA (153 nucleotides) under uncultured Dictyosporium. Its description in RNAcentral is "sequence contains ITS2". Lineage: Eukaryota; Fungi; Ascomycota; Dothideomycetes; Pleosporales. The record is from RNAcentral.